This 931-nucleotide ribosomal RNA is filed under the name uncultured eukaryote. RNAcentral's name for it is "SSU rRNA". It matches the Rfam family "Eukaryotic small subunit ribosomal RNA", at positions 83 to 1022 of the family's 1831-position model. The record is from RNAcentral.
GAAACUGCGAAUGGCUCAUUAAAUCAGUUAUGGUUUAUUUGAUGGUACCUUACUACUUGGAUAACCGUAGUAAUUCUAGAGCUAAUACAUGCAGGAAGUCCCGACUUCGGAAGGGAUGUAUUUAUUAGAUAAGAAACCAACCGGCUUGCCGGUUGCGUGCUGAGUCACAAUAACUGCUCGAAUCGCAUGGCCUUGCGCCGGCGAUGGUUCAUUCAAAUUUCUGCCCUAUCAGCUUUCGAUGGUAGGAUCGAGGCCUACCAUGGCGUUAACGGGUAACGGAGAAUUAGGGUUCGAUUCCGGAGAGGGAGCCUGAGAAAUGGCUACCACAUCCAAGGAAGGCAGCAGGCGCGUAAAUUGCCCGAAUCCUGACACAGGGAGGUAGUGACAAGAAAUAACAAUACAGGGCUAUUUUAGUCUUGUAAUUGGAAUGAGUACAAUUUACAUCUCUUCACGAGGAUCAAUUGGAGGGCAAGUCUGGUGCCAGGAGCCGCGGUAAUUCCAGCUCCAAUAGCGUAUAUUAAAGUUGUUGCAGUUAAAACGCUCGUAGUCGGAUUUCGGGGCGGGGCCGCCGGUCUGCCGAUGGGUAUGCACUGGCGGGCGCGUCCUUCCUUCCGGAGACUGGCCCUACUCUUAACUGAGCGGGGUCGGGAAUCGGAUCGUUUACUUUGAAAAAAUCAGAGUGUUUCAAGCAGGCAGCUCGCUCUUGCAUGGAUUAGCAUGGGAUAAUGAAAUAGGACUUUGGUGCUAUUUUGUUGGUUUCGAACACCGAAGUAAUGAUUAACAGGGACAGUCAGGGGCACUCGUAUUCCGCAGAGAGAGGUGAAAUUCUCAGACCCGCGGAAGACGAACCACUGCGAAAGCAUUUGCCAGGGAUGUUUUCACUGAUCAAGAACGAAAGUUAGGGGAUCGAAGACGAUCAGAUACCGUCGUA